UGAGUAAGCAAAACGAUCGAUAGAUAAUUCGAUUUAUCUGUAGGAAAGUCCGAACACCAUAGAGCAUGGUGCUUCAUAACAUGAAGUCGUGGUAACGCGAAGGAAAGUGCAACAGAAAACAUACCGCCUUAACAACAGGCAAACAUCCUGUAAAUUCAAGGUAAGGGUGAAAUAGUGCGGUAAGAGCGCACUAGUUCUUCAGGUGACUGGAGAGCUUGGUAAACCCCACCAGGUGCAAGACCAAAUAGAGAAACGUUUGAAGACUGCUCGUCUGAGUUUCCGGGUAGGUCGCAUGAAAUACGAGGUAACUCGUAUUCAAGAUGAAUGAUCGUUAUUUUUUCAUAUGGAACCAUGUGAAAAAAAACAGAAUUCGGCUUAUUGCUUACUCAAGCC
Molecule: RNase P RNA, 393 nt
Filed under: Desulfobacterales bacterium
Lineage: Bacteria; Pseudomonadati; Thermodesulfobacteriota; Desulfobacteria; Desulfobacterales
Description: RNase P RNA component class A
Rfam family: Bacterial RNase P class A
About the family: Ribonuclease P (RNase P) is a ubiquitous endoribonuclease, found in archaea, bacteria and eukarya as well as chloroplasts and mitochondria.
Source: RNAcentral